GCGCUCUGCUGACGAAAACGUGUAUUGCAGUCAAUAAGAGUAACUGUACACGUCAUCACAUCACUGCGCAUGUUCGCUCAGGACUGUUGUUCGACGACAAGACAUGCAAGUUUCUUCCCUGCAGUGUUUGGAAGUGUUUUGCCAUUUGGGAUAAAAAGAUGGGUCGUCGCAAUAAAAAGUCUCAGGCUGCGAAACGGCGCUAUGUUCCACUAGACUUGGAUGCAGAAGGACAGCGACUGCCAAAGGUCCAGAAGUCUUUUGCAGACGUUGUGAAACCUGUUGACAGACCACAGUCCACAGAUGAUGUUGAAAGCAGACAGCGGUUUUCAGAGGCCUCGCUGUCUGCUGAAGUUUUGCAGACCUCUGAAACGGUGGCGCUGCCAACUCAGCCUGCAUCUUUGUCCCUCUGUGACACCUCUAUCUCACCUGACAUAACUGAUUUUUCUAUCUUUCCUAUCCUUCACAACAACAAAGCAAGCAAAAGCACUUUGCAUUCUCGUUCAAACAAACACAGUGAUUCUGUCAACACGUCUGUGCUCUCAAACAAACUCAGUCAAGGUCAAAUGACUUCAAUUACUCAACCUCUAAACAAUCCUCAAACAACUAUGCAAACUGACAACUAUGUGAAAGCUCUACAUUCUUCCUUUAUUCAGUCUGUUGACCUUGCAGAUACCGAUAAUCGCGUCCUAACAGGAUCCUUUCAUCAAGGUGAUGCUCAGUUUGGCGAUGCAGCUGAAAGACAAUGUGGACCAACCAGCUUAGUUGCAGCUUUGAAAUGUAAAAUAAAGAAUGUGUUGACCUGGGAUUGUGCUGAUGUAAAUGAUGUUGUUGUACAUGGAACUUCACUGUAUAACUGUCUGAAAAUGCCAACAAAAUUAAAGAUAUAAAUCAACGUCGUUCCUAUCUGUCUGUGACUGAAUUGCCAAAUAAUCACCAUGUGUGGAAUACAGAGUUUUCAAUAAGAUAUGGUGAAUCUUUUACCGGUGCUAUUGACCUUGAGAAUGAUAAUGGUUUGUCUGACCUGAUCAUGCCACUUGAUGUAGCUUUGCAACGGACUCUACUGGACAAUGAUGCAGGUGUGGUAACCAUCCGUUCUAGUACAUUUGCUGUUGUAAAGCAGGGGUCUUGGUUUGCAUUUUUCGACUCCCAUGGAAGAAAGGUAA
Engraulis encrasicolus (European anchovy) is the source of this 1163-nucleotide long non-coding RNA. RefSeq lists it as uncharacterized. The transcript is spliced from 4 exons. The record is from RefSeq and is a predicted model, not a curated record. NCBI's taxonomy places the organism in Eukaryota, Metazoa, Chordata, Actinopteri, Clupeiformes, Engraulidae.